GACGAACGCUGGCGGCGUGCUUAACACAUGCAAGUCGAACGGAAAGGCCCUGCUUUUGUGGGGUGCUCGAGUUGCGAACGGGUGAGUAACACGUGAGUAACCUGCCCCUGACUUUGGGAUAACUUCAGGAAACUGGGGCUCAUACCGCAUAGGAGCUCCUGCCGCAUGGUGGGGGCUGGAUAGUUUCGGCGGUUGGGGAUGGACGCGCGUUUUAUUAGCUUGUUGGUUGGGUAGUGGCUUACCAAGGCUUUGACAGAUAGCCGGCCUGAGAGGGUGACCAGCCAGGGUGGGACUGAGAGCCGAGACAGACUCGGGAGGGAGGAGGGGGGGGGGAAUAUCAGAGGACGGGAGAAAGAUUGAGCAAGCCAGGGUGCGGGAGUGAGGAAGGCGGGUGGGAUGUCACGUUCGCUUGUGAGGAAGGGUGAGGAAAGGAAAUGGGGAAAGAAGCACCGCUAAACUAGUU
This 463-nucleotide ribosomal RNA is filed under the name uncultured bacterium. Its description in RNAcentral is "partial 16S ribosomal RNA". It matches the Rfam family "Bacterial small subunit ribosomal RNA", at positions 28 to 506 of the family's 1533-position model. The record is from RNAcentral.